Molecule: long non-coding RNA, 3918 nt
Filed under: Manihot esculenta (cassava)
Lineage: Eukaryota; Viridiplantae; Streptophyta; Magnoliopsida; Malpighiales; Euphorbiaceae
Description: long non-coding RNA (MESC_LNC007858)
Source: RNAcentral
UCCCUGUAAAUUCCACCACAGUAACAUUAACAUGAUAUUCAAAGUAAUAAAUAAAUAAAACAGAAAAUGCAUGGAUGUUUAAAGAAAUAUUUUAAUGUUACCUUUUUUACUGCAAUAUCAUGAUCACAAAUGAUUAUUAGAACUACUCAAAAUGGAACCCACAUGGUUCACCAAACUCUCAGUAAAAGUGGACUACUCAAUCAUCACACUAGUAACUUAAACUAAUCACACUUUCUGGUUAUCCAGAGUUUACAAGGGCUCCAAUUUCACUCGCUCAACUUGCCAAACUCACUAAAAUAGAUUAAUUUGUGUUGCUAUGGGAAUCAAAUUCUUUGGAGGUUACUGUUGAAUUUGAAAACAAGAUUGCUUCACAUCAACAGCAACAAAUGGAUGCCCUGCUUCAAGGUUUCCCACAAUUAUUUUAGUGAUACUUUAGUGUUACCUCUAAAUAGACCUACAGACCAUGUUAUUCCUCUUCAGCCAGGAGUAUCAGCCAUUAAUGUGAAGGCAUAUCGUUAUGGCUAUUAUCAGAAAGGUGAGACUAAGAAAUUGGUGGCAAAGAUGCUUGCAGCCGGAAUCAUCAAACCUAGUUCUAGCCCAUUUUCAAGCCUAGUUUUGCUGAAAAAAAGAUGGAAGUUGGAGAUUUUGUGUUAACCAUCGACCUCUCAAUAAAGCCACCAUUCCAUAUAAGUACCGAAUUUGGAGAGUUUCAAAAUGUAUUUCGUAUUUCUCACUUGAACUUUACAAAUAAUUUAUAUGUCUAUCGAUACAAAGAGAAUUGCAAUUAAAAAGUAAACAAAAAAUUACAAAAUAAUUUCCCACAAUUAAGAACCCAUAAUUUGUGCCUAGAAUCAACAAGUAAUUAGGCUAGAAUCAGCGUGUAAAUAGCCUAAAUAAGUCAACAAUCCCUCUCAAGUUGGUACAUAGAUGUCGCACAUACCCGACUUGCAAAUCAAAUUACAAUAAGUCUAUUGUUAAGACUUUUAGUAAACACAUUAGCUAGUUACCAAUUAGAAGUCACAUAAACUAAACUUAAGAUACUAUUUGUUAGUUUUUCUUCAAUGAAAUGUCAAUCAAUCUCAAUAUGCUAUGUUCAGUCAUAUUGAACUAGAUUUUGUGUCUUACAAAUGGCAGAUUUAUUGUCGUAAUAUAAAAUUAUCUUGUACUUCUCGAACAACUUCAGUUCUUCUAAUAAUCUCUAAGUUCACACACGCCUUGAGUUAUCGCUCUGUAUUCAGGUUCAGCACUCGAUCGAACAACAACACUUUGCUUUUUGGCUUUUCAAGAGACAAAAUUUCCUCCCACAACGUCUAGUAACUAGAGAUUGAUUUUUUGUUAUCAGGAGAUCCUACCCAAUUUGCAUUUGUGAAGGCUUCUACCCGAAAAUGACCAUGUUUGGAAAAAAGGUCUUUCUCUGGGGUAGACUUUAAGGGUAAAUUUAAUUGGUGAUUCCUAAACUUAGAGUGUUAUAACAGUGUUGUCCUUAAACUUUAGUUUGCAACGUAAAACUCCCAAACUUUAAUUUAGUUCACAUAAAACUCCUUGUGACUUGUAAUAGCCGGUUUUCAGGUUACAACAUGAUAAAAUUACUUAAAUACCGUUUGCCUACUUUCUCCUUCCCCUUCUUCUCAUUGUUCUCAAAUACUCUCCCUCAAUCUCUUUCUCCUUUAUUAUUAAUCAAUCUUGCAUAAGGCAAGCAACUAAAAACAAAAACGGUCAAAAGGCUCAUAAAUUAAGAAUACAAUUAAUGGGAAACAAAUAUUCAUUUCCUUUAGGAUAUGGUUAUUACACAUGCUCUUGAAUGACCCUCCAUUCCCAUUAAGUGAUUACCCAACCAUGAGAAGCAACCUGAGCAUACAUUUCAAAGCAAAGCAAUAAAAAGGAUUGAUUAUAAAUUUUGGUAGAUCAAUCAUGAUCUCUAGAUCUAAUUCCUUGAAUUAUGUCUCCACUUAGUAAUCAAUAUAUAUAUAUAUAUAUAUAUAUAUAUAUAUCUUGGAAACUUUUUCCCACCAUCACCAGUGCAAAUGCAUAUGAAAAAGCUUAUUCAAACCUCCUCUAACUAUUGCACACAUUAUCUGAUGCAAAUAUAAGCUACUGGGUAGAAGUGAGUCUCUUAUUUGCCAUGGCUUGACGUUGGGAGGAUGUCUAUAAGAGAAGUGUUGGAGAUGAAACAACAUCAUUAGUGUUUGUGAGGUGAGAAGGGAGAAUAUAGAUGUGUAAUGGGAGUAAGCUUUGUCCUACAAAAGUGGUAAUGGAGUUCUAACAACGAAGAGAUGGAUGAGGAUUUGCUUCAUCCAUGGUGUUAGAAAAGAGAUGGAUGAAGGGUGUAUAAGUCUAUUUUUUUAUUAAUUUAAAAUAUACUAAAUUAAAUUUUUAACUUGUAAACCGGUUGUAACUGGUCACAAGGACUUUUAUGUAAGUUAAAUUAAAGUUCAGGGAGUUUUAUAUUACAAAUUAAAGUUUAAGAACGAUACUGUUACAACACUCUAAAUUCAGGGAUAGUCAGUGAAAUUUACCCGAGAUUUUAAGUAUCUCAGGAUGCAAAAAACAGAUUGCAUGUGAGGCUCACAGGGUUCAUGCAUAAACUUACUAACUAAACUAACAACAUAGCUAUAUUUGGUCGAGUGUAUUUGGAGAUAAAUCAAUCUCCCUACCAAUCUUUGGUAUCUACCAAUUUGCUAAACCUGUCAAACCAAGCUCUUGUGGGAGACUGCUUCAACCCCCUUUUUUAGUCUACACACAUUCCUUGUGUCUUUUCAUCAGCAAAUCUAAGAGGAAUAUCAUGUAUACUCUUCCUUUAAAUCUCAUGGAAGAAUGCAUUUUUCACAUUAAAAUACUGCAAGUCCGAGUCCAAGUUGGUUGCACAAAAUAACAAGACUCAUAAAGUUCAUUUUGAGUGAGUCCUUUAGCAAUUAAUCUAGCCUUGAACUUUUCAAUUGUUCUAUCAACUUUGUGUUUCACCAUAAAUACCCAUUUACAGCCAACUAAUUUCUUCCUAGGUGGAAGAGAGGCCAGCUCUCCUAUGUCUCAUUUUUAGCCACAACCUUCAUCUCUUCAAUCAUUACUCUUUUCCAUUUAGGAUAUGCAAAAAAUGAUUUUUCUAUGAAAAGAUAUGAGUUCUUUAAGAUUUGGUGCCUUCCAGUGUCAAUUUGAGUGUGUCUGUGCAUGUGACUUGAUUUUUGUGACAAAUAAUUUGAUCUCUGGCACUCUAAAUAGGGUGAUUCUUGAUUCUAAAUCAAGUUUAAGAAAUCUUCUAUAAAAAUUAUGUUUUGAGUUCUUCACAUUCUAGUCUCCUCAUUAUGUUAAAUUGCACACAAAAUCAGUACUCAGAAUCUGUGUAAAUAUGGAAUAGUCGACUUGUAAGUAAAAUAACUUACUAUCCAUAAAUCCUUUUACUCGUUUUGAGUUGAACGAGAAAGGUGUCUAACACCUUCCCUCUAUCAUACCUAUUAUCUCAAACCUAAACCAGAAAAGAGCCAAAGAAUCAUGAAAAAUAGUGGAGUUUUUGCUACGAUAAGUCACAAUCCACCUCCUUCAUUUGUCUCAAAUUUCAUCUGGAUAGCAACUCCUACUAAAUCCUUCACUCUGCACUAAGCAAAAUAAAAAUUUGUAUCCCAUAAUAGUCUUACGAGAAAAUAAGAUCAAAACCAAUCGGAGUAUCACAAAUUGCCACUUAUAUAAGCUCUAUCUUUCAUGAGUGCAAGAUAACAUUGAAUUCUUACUUUCUUCCUAAGUGGAGCGCUAAAAAAAUGAAAACCUAUUUUUAUAUGUGAGUUAUUGAAUUGAUUGUUAUAGUACUUGCAUGACCAAUAUUUUGUUCGUUUUGAAUUAUUUCCUUUUAGUGCUCUAGUCACAUUAAUUUCAUUUAAUAGUAGCUUUGUUGAUGAGCCUUAAUGUCUUUGUCUUAGUACUUUUGUU